CGCUGCGCCAUGAGCAAAGUCUGCGGCCCCUCACUCGGCGCGGCUCCGGGAACACUGGGGCGGGGGUGGGUGAUUCAGUCCCCCACCCCCGGGUGUCCUGACUCCCUGGUGGCCCUGGGCUGACAGCUCCACACCUUGGGAGGCCGCACCCCCACCUGCCGCAUUUCCUCGUUCUGAGUCACCCUUGCUCAGAACGCUUGACUUUGGGACUUCCUGUCCGCACUCGCGGCCCCUAACCUGCCCCGGGAGCCCGGGAGUGCGGCUUGGGAAGGAGGGAAAGGAGUGUGUGAGCAGGGAUUGGCCCGAACCUAUCUCCACGCUCUCCCCCGGGACUGGAGGUGAAGGGGGGCGUGGAGAAAAUCUCAGGGAACAGGGGCUUCGACAGGGGGCUCCCGCCCGCCCGAGCCCCCUCCCCAAAAUGCGAGGCCUGCACAGUAUGCCUUCUCCGCAAAACCUCGGCAAGCGGGUUAGUGAAUUCAGGUCACUAAGAAGCUGAGCCCGCGGAAAGCUGCCCAAACACCCCCUUCUCUAGGGGACUCCCCACGCCCCCCGCCGGGACGCGUUCCCGAAGUCGCCGCCUGGACUGCAACCGCGUGGCCUGCGCCGCGUCCUCUUCUCCGCAGCCUCCGAGGCCCGUGCGACCAAGCUGAAACCGCUUAUUCUCCGGAGCCCCUAUGACCCCGGGUGGGGGCCAGGGCUCGCCUCGAUCGCAGCCCGUGCGCCCUCCGGACUCCAGUUCGCCGGGACUGGGCGACACCAGAAGCGGCUAGUGUGAGUGAAACAAACGGGAAAUUUGCUCUGGCCCGCCUGCCCAGCCACCCACGGCUGCCUGUUGGCCAAUCACCAUUUGACCAGUCCAGGAAGAGCAACUGUGGCAGGCCUGAUUUCCUGGGAGGCCCCAGACUCCCUUUGCCUACCUCUUCCUCUCUGACCCCAUCCUCGCUUUGAUGCCCGGGACCUGCUACCCAGAGUCUUUCCCGCUCUAGGUGACUGGGUGCUAAGGAGGAAAGUUCUUCAGUGAGUCUUAUAAAGCGGCACCAAAACGCGGUAUUUAUAGUGACAUAAUCAGCCCUAAUGGAGAUGGAAUUACCCCAUAAAGGCCCCAAGGAGCCCUCAGGGCCUCAGCGCCACUGCAGCAGACAAGGCUCCUGUACAGGCAGGUGGAGCCCGAGUGAGUGUGUGUUUGUGUGUGACUGCCUCUCCUGCCAAUCCCUGCCUCCGGCCCACCAGCCUGCUUAGGGGCCCACCUUUGCUAGGACUUAGCUGGGGCUGGGUACUGGGGGCAAGGAGAUGACAAAGGUGAAUGCUGAAGCCAUGGCCUCACUUACCCCACCUUUGAUCUGUGCCUGCCUUUGGCCAAGAGCAUCAGAAAAAAAAUAAUGCGGCCUGGGCAAUACAGUGAGACCCCAUCUCUACAAAAGAAAAAAGAAAAAAAAUUAGCUGGGCAUGGUGGUGAGCACCCGUGGCCUCAGCUACUCGGGCGGCUGAGGAAGGAGGAUUGCUUGAGCCUAGGAGGUCAAGGCUGCAAUGAGCCGUGAUUGCACCACUGCACUCCAGCCUAGGCAACCAAGUGAGACCCUGUUUCAAAACAAAAUUUUUUUAAAAAAAGAAAAGCAAAGAAAAAAACUGUAGCCAAUACUUAUGAAGCACUACUAUGUGCCGGGCCCAGUUCUAGGCACUUAUCUGUACUGAUCCACUUAGUUCUCAUGACACCUUCAGGGAGGUGGCCACUGCUCCUGCCCACAUUUUGCAGAAGAGCAAAUUUGGAAGUAAAAUUUGGAGCUGGCAUUCUGGCCCAGACAGGCUAGAUCCAGCGCGCACUCUCAUGGGUACCUGCCUCAACCAUUGCCUCUGAAUUCCACUGAACCUGGAGAGCAGUGCCCCGUCCUGGAAUGUGCCAACUCUCCGCAGCUGGGAUCUUUAAGGUCAGUCUAAUUACUACCUCUUGGGUGAAACCCCCAGGGAUCAGGCCCCCCCUAGAGCCCCAGGGGCCUCCAUGCUACAUGCCUACCAGCACCCUGCUCUCAACCAACUGAACUCUUUUUUGUUUUUCAAAGCCUCUGAACUAUCUUCUCAACUAGACUGUAAAUCCCUCAGAGGCAGGGUAUGAAUCCAGCAACAGGUAGAACAGUUCCCCACACAUUCUGCUCAAUAGAUGCUAAUUUUUUUUUUUUUUUUUUUUUUGAGACAGAGUCUUGCUCUGUCCCCCAGGCUGGAGUGCAGUGGCGCAAUCUCAGCUCACUGCAACCUCCACCUCCCGGGUUCAAGUGAUUCUCCUGCCUCAGCCUCCUGAGUAUCUGGGAUUACAGGUGCACGCCACCACACCUGGCUAAUUUUUGUAUUUUUAGUAGAGACAGGGUUUCACCAUGUUGGUCAGGCUGGUCUUGAACUCCUGACCUCAUGAUCCGCCCUCCUCGGCCUCCUAAAGUGCUGGGAUUACAGGCGUAAGCCACUGUGCUUGGCCUUAGAUGCUCACAUUUGAUGGUGACAUUCUAAAUUAGUUUCCUCCAUUCAUUUCCUUUUUUUUUAGACGGAGUCUUGCUCUGUCACCGAGGCUGGAAUGCA
Molecule: long non-coding RNA, 2565 nt
Filed under: Homo sapiens (human)
Lineage: Eukaryota; Metazoa; Chordata; Mammalia; Primates; Hominidae
Description: HSALNT0290432
Source: RNAcentral